AUCGCAGAGUGAAUGGUGAAGACACGUGGAGUUAUCCAAUCAUCCACUAUUUAUUUGGAUUAAUCAUUCCGAAGAGUGGCGUUAGCUGAACUACCCGAGGGAAAAGUGAAAAUAAAGUGAAAUUCUUGAAAGAAGCAAAGGGAUAGGAGUACUGGAAAAUCUUAAUACAGCCAAGCCGGCCAACCAAUCUACGGUAUCAACUACAAAAACAACAAAGCUGACCGUUUGGGAGUUAGGGCUCGCGCCUUAACAUGGGAUCAUCGGAGCAGUGCAAAAAAAAAGUUUAAGUAUUUAAAAGACGAAUACCGCAAGGCCCAGCGAAAUGUGCCAAGACUCGCAUCAGGAGCAGCAGCAGCAGAGCCUCACGUUUUCAAAUUUAAAUAUUUUAAUUUAAUGCACUUUUUGAGGGAUGAUUUCGGUGGAGAAACCGACGGAAAUAUAGGAGGCACAUACAUCGAACUAAUGGACGACACAUCAAUGCCAUAUAGUGCUGAACUGUACGACACUGAAAUUGCCUUGACAAAAGAUGACAUCGAAAAGCCAGGACCGUCCAAACGACAUAACAAACGACAAAAAGACAUGGACAACGAACUAAUAGAAAUCGAACA
This is a long non-coding RNA of Drosophila miranda, 608 nucleotides long. RefSeq lists it as uncharacterized. NCBI's taxonomy places the organism in Eukaryota, Metazoa, Arthropoda, Insecta, Diptera, Drosophilidae. The record is from RefSeq and is a predicted model, not a curated record. The transcript has 3 exons.